GGGGAUGACAGGUUUCGACGGGGAAGGCUGGCUCCGCACUGCAAGCCGAGGCGCUCCACCCUCGUUAAUCAGGAGCACAAACAACAAGUGCCAACCGCACUGAACCCGCUCUCGCAAUGGCUGCGUAAGCAGCCUGAGCAGAGCGAUCACCCAAAGAGGUGAUCCGUCCGCCUUCGCCGUCGCCGUCCGGCGAUGAAGCGGGCGUCAUAAAUGGCGAGCGUGCGGCCUGCUGACGUCGAUAAAGCGGGCCAAAGAGGGGCUUUCGGGUCCCAUCGGCUAGCCUGACGAGCACCCUGUUGCGCGGGGGCCGCCGGGCGAACGUCAAAUAGCGCGACUAAGCUUGUAGACGUGCGCAGUCGAAUUCUUCGGACCCGGGUUCGAUUCCCGGCAUCUCCACCU
RNAcentral lists this transfer-messenger RNA (399 nucleotides) under Anaerolineae bacterium. It matches the Rfam family "transfer-messenger RNA". Rfam says of the family: Bacterial tmRNA, also known as 10Sa RNA or SsrA, is named for its dual tRNA and mRNA-like properties. Its role is to liberate the mRNA from a stalled ribosome. Lineage: Bacteria; Bacillati; Chloroflexota; Anaerolineae. The record is from RNAcentral.